Molecule: ribosomal RNA, 496 nt
Filed under: uncultured bacterium
Lineage: Bacteria
Description: partial 16S ribosomal RNA
Rfam family: Bacterial small subunit ribosomal RNA
Source: RNAcentral
GAUGAACGCUGGCGGCGUGCCUAAUACAUGCAAGUCGAGCGAACAGACGAGGAGCUUGCUCCUUUGACGUUUGCGGCGGACGGGUGAGUAACACGUAGGUAACCUACCUAUAAGACUGGGAUAACUUCGGGAAACCGGAGCUAAUACCGGAUAAUAUUUCGAACCGCAUGGUUCGAUAGUGAAAGAUGGCUUUGCUAUCACUUAUAGAUGGACCUGCGCCGUAUUAGCUAGUUGGUAAGGUAACGGCUACCAAGGCAACGAUACGUAGCCGACCUGAGAGGGUGAUCGGCCACACUGGAACUGAGACACGGUCCAGACUCCUACGGGAGGCAGCAGUAGGGAAUCUUCCGCAAUGGGCGAAAGCCUGACGGAGCAACGCCGCGUGAGUGAUGAAGGUCUUCGGAUCGUAAAACUCUGUUAUUAGGGAAGAACAAACGUGUAAGUAACUGUGCACGUCUUGACGGUACCUAAUCAGAAAGCCACGGCUAACUACGUG